AGUGAACGCUGGCGGUAGGCCUAACACAUGCAAGUCGAACGGCAGCACAGUAAGAGCUUGCUCUUACGGGUGGCGAGUGGCGGACGGGUGAGGAAUACAUCGGAAUCUACUUUUUCGUGGGGGAUAACGUAGGGAAACUUACGCUAAUACCGCAUACGACCUACGGGUGAAAGCAGGGGAUCUUCGGACCUUGCGCGAUUGAAUGAGCCGAUGUCGGAUUAGCUAGUUGGCGGGGUAAAGGCCCACCAAGGCGACGAUCCGUAGCUGGUCUGAGAGGAUGAUCGGCCACACUGGAACUGAGACACAGUCCAGACUCCUACGAGAGGCAGCAGUGGAGAAUAUUGGACAAUGGGCGCAAGCCUGAUCCAGCCAUACCGCGUGAGUGAAGAAGGCCUUCGGGUUGUAAAGCCCUUUUGUUGGGAAAGAAAAGCAGCAGGUUAAUACCCCGCUGUUCUGACGGUACCCAAAGAAUAAGCACCGGCUAACUUCGUG
Molecule: ribosomal RNA, 492 nt
Filed under: uncultured bacterium
Lineage: Bacteria
Description: partial 16S ribosomal RNA
Rfam family: Bacterial small subunit ribosomal RNA
Source: RNAcentral